AAUAAAAAACCACACCAGGACAAAAUGUGCUGUCGCUACCACUACUAACCACCACUACAUUUUUCACUACUUAAAAAAGCCGAAGAGAUCUACAAAUUUUUUGUAGCAAGAGAGCAGCUACCAGUCUGUUUUGUAUCUUGGUUGCUACAAUGGAUGGAGAGAAAUUCUCAGUCGAAGCAGGGAAACCAAUUAGAUGCAAAGCUGCGGUGGCUCGCAAACCAGGAGAGCCUCUCGUAAUAGAGGAGAUAAUCGUGGCUCCUCCGAGUCAUCAUGAAGUUCGUGUUCGAAUUAUCUGCACCUCUCUCUGUCAAAGUGAUGUCACUUUUUGGAAAUUGAAGGAUCUUCCUGCUAUUUUUCCUAGAAUACUUGGCCAUGAGGCUAUCGGAGUUGUGGAGAGUGUAGGGGAGGAUGUAGAUGAGGUUGUCGAAGGAGAUGUUGUGAUUCCUGUAUUCUUGCCAGAUUGUGGAGAUUGUGCAGACUGCAAAUCAAAAAAGAGUAACCUUUGUUCGAAACUUCCCUUCCAGCUCUCUCCUUGGAUGCCUAGAGAUAAGACCAGUAGAUUCACUGACCUAAAAGGAGAGGUUCUAUACCAUUUCCUAAAUGUAUCAAGUUUUAGUGAGUAUACAGUGGUGGACACAGCCCAUAUUGUAAAGAUUGAUCCUUCAAUCCCACCAAGUAAAGCAUGCCUACUCAGUUGUGGAGUAUCAACAGGGGUUGGAGCUGCAUGGAGAACUGCAAAUGUUGAGGCUGGGUCAACUGUUGUCAUAUUUGGGCUUGGGUCAAUCGGCUUAGCAGUUGCAGAGGGUGCCAGAAUAAGCGGCGCUACUAAGAUUAUAGGGGUGGAUGUGAAUCAAGAAAAGUUCGAAAUUGCAAAAAAAUUUGGAGUCACAGACUUUGUCAAUGUUGGAGAAUGCGGGGAUAAACCUGUGAGCCAGGUGAUCAAUGAAAUGACUGGUGGGGGAGCAGACUAUUGCUUUGAAUGUGUUGGUUUGGUGUCCUUGAUGGAGCAAGCAUAUGCUUGCAGUCGAAAGGGAUGGGGAAAGACAGUCAUCUUAGGAGUGGAAAAAUCAGACUCAUUGAUCUCCCUUCGGUGUGCGGAUGUCGUUGGGAAUGGGAAAACCCUCACUGGAGCCUUGUUUGGUGGUCUCAAAGCUAAAUCUGAUAUUCCAACUCUCCUAAAGCGAUACAUGGACAAGGAACUGGAGUUGGAUAAGUUUGUGACCCAUGAGGUCGAUUUUGAAGACAUUAACAAAGCCUUCGAUUUAUUACUUGAAGGAAAGAGUCUCCGAUGUGUAAUUUGGAUGGACAAACAAGCAAGCUACUCCAAAGGUGUUCGUACAUCAUGAUUCUUGAAGGCUCUCGUUUAAGCGUCUGCCCUUCUAUUUGCACGAUGUUUGUGGGGUUUGAUCUUCAAACAAAUAAAGGCAGAUUCUAUUAGAAUAUCAAUAAAAGCAUAGUUUGGAUUCAAGGAAGCUCUUUUUUAUUUUUUAUAACAACGAACAUUUAAUACAAAUCUCCUCGAUUAUGAUACCGUAAAACAGCCUUAGGCUUUUGGCAUUCCA
Populus euphratica (Euphrates poplar) is the source of this 1562-nucleotide RNA transcript. It is a transcript of the gene named Zinc-binding alcohol dehydrogenase family protein, with no coding region annotated. The record is from RefSeq and is a predicted model, not a curated record. Lineage: Eukaryota; Viridiplantae; Streptophyta; Magnoliopsida; Malpighiales; Salicaceae. The transcript has 11 exons.